UACGUAGGUGGCAAGCGUUGUCCGGAUUUAUUGGGUUUAAAGGGUGCGUAGGCGGCUUAAUAAGUCAGUGGUGAAAGCCGAUCGCUUAACGAUCGAACUGCCAUUGAUACUGCUAGGCUUGAGUAUAGUUGAGGUAGGCGGAAUUGACAGUGUAGCGGUGAAAUGCAUAGAUAUUGUCAAGAACACCAAAUUGCGAAGGCAGCUUACUAAAGUAUAACUGACGCUGAGGCACGAAAGUGCGGGGGAUCAAAACAGGG
Molecule: ribosomal RNA, 257 nt
Filed under: uncultured bacterium
Lineage: Bacteria
Description: partial 16S ribosomal RNA
Rfam family: Bacterial small subunit ribosomal RNA
Source: RNAcentral